CUUAACUACCUGGGAAUGUAGCCCAUUAGGUCUCAGCCUUAUUUUACCCAGUCACUAUUCAAGAUGGAGUCACUCUAGUUUGAAUGCCUCUGACAGUAAUGAAGAAGUAAACUCCGAGACAGCACAUGACUUCCCUCUGAUGACGUAAGGUUGCUGGGAGGACCAGCUCACUGACAGAUUAAAGUUACCAAGUUGAAGUGAUGAGCUUGAAUCCUUCUGCAGUCACACGUUUGGCCUAGCAGAGGUUGAAAUUUUUAAAAAAUGAAAUAGAACCACAAAGAAAAUAUCAGAACACAUUGCACUUAGUAAAGAACAAGGGGGAGUCUCCCUGCACAAGCUCUCUCUCUUUGCCUGCUGUCAUCCACCUAAGAUGUAACUUGCUCCUCCUUGCCUUCCACCAUGAUUGUGAGGCUUCCCCAGCCACGUGGAACUAAUGAGGCAGAAGUUACACUGUGCCAGUUUGGGCCCAGCUCUUCACAGGCCUGGCAGCUUCCACUUUUGCUCUCUUAAAAUCCAGCUUUCCUGCUGAAGAGGCUGCGUGGGGAAGAAUCCUGGAAAAUGACAGGACACCUUGAACAUUCAAGCCCUAGGUGAGCAGUCAGCUGAGUGCAACCACAUGAAGGAUCAUAGCUGACACAACCUAGUGCUGAGAAGAACUGGCCCUGCUGAGCCCUGACCAAAUUGUAGAAUUAUGAGCAAACACAUGGUAGCUUUAAGCCACAAAGUUUGAGGGUGUUUUCUUUUGUAAUAAUAAACAUUUGCUCUACUAUACA
Molecule: long non-coding RNA, 773 nt
Filed under: Homo sapiens (human)
Lineage: Eukaryota; Metazoa; Chordata; Mammalia; Primates; Hominidae
Description: PREDICTED lncRNA (TCONS_00246262)
Source: RNAcentral